AACGCACAUUGCGCCUCCUGUAACAGGGAGGCAUGCCUGUCUGAGCGUCAUUUAAUAUCAAUAAGCCUAUAUGGCUUGUUCUGGGCCUCGCCGUCGGCGUCGCCUGAAAAUGAUCGGUCUUAUGAGCGGACGAGUUCCAUUAGGGCAGACCGUUCUUAUGACUUUAAAUCUCUCUGACUUGACCUCAGAUCAGGUAGGGCUACCGCCUGAACUUAA
This 216-nucleotide unclassified non-coding RNA is filed under the name uncultured fungus. RNAcentral's name for it is "partial contains 5.8S ribosomal RNA, internal transcribed spacer 2, and large subunit ribosomal RNA". The record is from RNAcentral. Lineage: Eukaryota; Fungi.